Molecule: long non-coding RNA, 2864 nt
Organism: Cyprinus carpio carpio
Lineage: Eukaryota; Metazoa; Chordata; Actinopteri; Cypriniformes; Cyprinidae
Source: Ensembl
AUGCUUGAGGACUGGCAGUGGACAGACAUUUUCAAGUUUUCAGUAAGAAUAUUUCUUCAUUUUUGCUGUGUUGCAGUGAUGGCUGUCCUUCUGCAAGUUUCUCCCAUCUCCACACAACCAGGAGCACAGCCAGGGUAUCUUGUGGCAAAAUCCACUAUUUCCAAGAUGUGCUCAUGCAAGAUUUGGUGGUUGACACACCACGCAAGAUCCAGCCCAACAUUGAAUCCCAUGCCCCUGAGGGAUUGGUCAGUGGGCAUAAGUUCAUCCAUCACUCCCUAUGUGCUGUCCAGAUGAAAGCAGCUUUGCUCCCAGGUGUGCUGAGUCUAAACAGUCUCCAACAGCUUCUGGUCAAGGGCCUCCACUUUGUCUGCCAACAUCUUGGGGUUGAACAAGUCGAUGGCCCUAUGAUGGGGCAGAGUUAGACAUGUAGAUGAUGAUUCACUGUAACCGUCUCUGCAACCAGUCACUUUCACCAAGCGGGACAGCUGGGCAGUACUAACAAGAGACUCCUGGCCUCCUGUUUCAAAGAGUAAUCAUUAACCAUGGUGACUAGCAGCAACCCUCAGUGGCCACUAGGGGUUGCACCGAUUAAUCGACUAGUUGACUUUAAUGCUCUGCCAUGCUGCUUUCAGCUUGACGUUGACUAGUCGCUGGUCCUAUAGAGGGUGCAACAGGAUAAGAAAUCUUUGAAGGACUUCAAUAUUUACGCUUCAUUUCCAAAUAGUUAAAAUGACAAAUAAAUACAUACUCCGAAAGCGCUCCACAAGACGUGUGUGAUUAUGCAUACUUAUGCUCAAAACUGAACGGGAGAAUGCACGUUUUAAAUAGCUUAUUGUACAGGUAAGUUAAUCGCUGUUCUAAUCUGAUGUGCUGCUGCACAGUACCGCACACACAUAGGCUUCAGACAAUAGCGUGUAUUGUCAACACUGUUCUGUGAUUUCUCAAUAAAAUAGCUUAGAGACCGAAAAGUUCUAGUAUAUUUUUCUUCAUAAUUAAAUCCUACAGCUUCACUACUAGUAGAGAGAUGCUGCCAGGUAGAAUUCAUUCACACACGCAAUCGCCUCCACUAAGGCUGAGUCUCGGGCCAGCAAUACCACGACUGAGGUGCCCUUGAUCAAGGCACCGAACCCACAACUGCUCCACGGGCGCCGCAGCAUAAAUGGCUGCCCAUUGCUCUGGGUGUGUGUUCACGGUGUGUGUGUGUGUUCACUGCUGUGUGUGUGCACUUUAGAUGGGUUAAAUGCAGAGCACAAAUUCUGAGUAUGGGUCACCAUACUUGGCUGUAUGUAUGUCACUUUCACUUUUUCACUUUUUAAUGCAUUCAUAUAAAUGUAAUCUUUACUGUGCUACUUCUGUAUCUGAUUUGGAAUGAGCAGAAAUCUGUUUAUAUUACUCAAAUCUGUGAGUAAUAUAAAGAACCAAUGACAAAAGAACUAUAAACUUAUAAAAAUAAGCUGUUAUAGGAGCACUAGCCAUGUGGGCAGUCCUGUGUCAUAUGCCAUAGCUGUGCACAAGGUGUUUGUCACAGCUCCAGACUUAUCUGUUCAUUAAUGACAUCACCCACGACUAGUCGACUUCAACUCAACUUCCAACACAUUUCAGAUUUUGUGGACCACUAGUAUGAACAUGAGUAGAACUGACCUCAUUUAUCAAGGCAAGGCAAGGCCCUUGAGAACAGUUGGUUAAAGUUAUUGAGUUGUGUUGGUUCUGAGCACUACACCAUUUGGUAGCAAAAAGAACAUGUUUGUUACCUAAUGUUAGUCUAACUUUCCAAAGUGUGUAUAUAUAUAUAUAUAUAUAUGUAUGUAUGUAUGUAUGUCAUGUUACGCUGUUGAGGGAACACGCUGGAGUCAUGAGGAAACAUUUAACAGCUUUUAAUCAAAGAAACACGGAACAAUCCACAAUAAACACUUGAGCCAACACAUGUGGACAACAAGUAGACCUAACAGAAACAGACGGCAUAGACUAUGACUUAAAUACAGGGGAUGAUUGGGGAAACAUAGGUGCAUGGAAUGACUAAUCAAACUAAUAAGACAGAACGAGGACAGGAACAAGACCAAAUAAGGAAAAACAGGAAGGACUAUGGUGGCAAAACAGGUCUAAAAUUAGUGUGACAAAGUCCAUUGUUCAGCUAAGGUUUUAGUGUCUUAUCCACAGGGUGAAGCAUGCUGUCUGCACCGGCUGUGUGAUACAGACAUCCAAAUCAACAGGAGCAUUAUCCUUUUGUAAGCCACCAGUUAAAGCAUGAGCAUGAGUGUAUCUGGCAUGUGGGAAUGGAACUGGAAAACACUGAAAAUAUAAAACAAAAAAGCAUAAUGACAAUACCAUUAUUUUGUCAUUAUUUAUGUCUAGUAAUGUAUAUGUCAUAUUAUAAAACUUACAUAUAGAGUAUGAUAGUGAAUUGUUUGGAGAGACAAUUUAAUAUGCAGUAUAUAACUUUAGUUAUAGUAUUUUACAAAAAAAAAAAAAAAAUAAUAAUAAUAAUAAUAAUAUAACAUGCUGCCUGGGAAAAAAUACUCCAAAUGGACUGCAAAUACCACCUUACCCUACUUCCCCUAUAAUAUAUAAAUUUAUAGAGUACUACUCUGCAUAUAGCCAUGUUAUCACAUCAUGUUCCAGUCAUGGUGGCUCAGCUGAGGCCACAGUGUUCACAGGCUCACCCAAGUGUAUAGUGGACAAUUGGAAAAAUGUCACCUCGUCUGAUGAAUCUCAAAUUCUGCUGAGACAUGCAGAUGGUAUGUCCAUUAUUAGAACAGCAUGAAUCCAUGUAUCCAUGUGAUCAGUGGUUCAAGCUAAUGGUAGUUGUGGAAGGGUGUGGAAAAUCUCUGACCACAGACCAUUUGAUUCAUAUUACACACAAGCAC